AAAACGACUCUCGGCAACGGAUAUCUCGGCUCUCGCAUCGAUGAAGAACGUAGCGAAAUGCGAUACUUGGUGUGAAUUGCAGAAUCCCGUGAACCAUCGAGUCUUUGAACGCAAGUUGCGCCCCAAGCCUUCUGGCCGAGGGCACGUCUGCCUGGGUGUCANAA
RNAcentral lists this ribosomal RNA (164 nucleotides) under Cardamine amara. RNAcentral's name for it is "5.8S ribosomal RNA". It matches the Rfam family "5.8S ribosomal RNA". From Rfam's summary of the family: 5.8S ribosomal RNA (5.8S rRNA) is a component of the large subunit of the eukaryotic ribosome. It is transcribed by RNA polymerase I as part of the 45S precursor that also contains 18S and 28S rRNA. Functionally, it is thought that 5.8S rRNA may be involved in ribosome translocation. The record is from RNAcentral. Lineage: Eukaryota; Viridiplantae; Streptophyta; Magnoliopsida; Brassicales; Brassicaceae.